Molecule: ribosomal RNA, 468 nt
Filed under: uncultured bacterium
Lineage: Bacteria
Description: partial 16S ribosomal RNA
Rfam family: Bacterial small subunit ribosomal RNA
Source: RNAcentral
GACGAACGCUGGCGGCGUGCUUAACACAUGCAAGUCGAACGGAAAGGCCCUGCUUUUGUGGGGUGCUCGAGUGGCGAACGGGUGGGUAACACGUGAGUAACCUGCCCUUGACUUUGGGAUAACUUCAGGAAACUGGGGCUAAUACCGGAUAGGAGCUCCUGCUGCAUGGUGGGGGUUGGAAAGUUUCGGCGGUUGGGGAUGGACUCGCGGCUUAUCAGCUUGUUGGUGGGGUAGUGGCUUGCCAAGGCUUUGACGGGUAGCCGGCCUGAGAGGGUGACCGGCCACAUUGGGACUGAGAUACGGCCCAGACUCCUACGGGAGGCAGCAGUGGGGAAUAUUGCACAAUGGGCGGAAGCCUGAUGCAGCAACGCCGCGUGCGGGAUGACGGCCUUCGGGUUGUAAACCGCUUUCGCCUGUGACGAAGCGUGAGUGACGGUAAUGGGUAAAGAAGCACCGGCUAACUACGUG